RNAcentral lists this transfer RNA (74 nucleotides) under Ligilactobacillus equi. RNAcentral describes it as "tRNA-Arg". It matches the Rfam family "tRNA". Rfam says of the family: Transfer RNA (tRNA) molecules are approximately 80 nucleotides in length. Their secondary structure includes four short double-helical elements and three loops (D, anti-codon, and T loops). Lineage: Bacteria; Bacillati; Bacillota; Bacilli; Lactobacillales; Lactobacillaceae. The record is from RNAcentral. RNAcentral also lists the same sequence under 2 other names.
GGACCGAUAGCUCAGUUGGAUAGAGCACGGGUCUUCUAAACCCGGUGUCGUGAGUUCGAAUCUCACUCGGUUCA